CGAAAAAACAACUCAUACAGUUGUCCGAACUAAUUAACAUCUCUGUGUGUGUAUUUAGCAGUCUGUCUGUCUGUGUACUUAGCAGACUGCUGAAUACACACACAGACUGCUGAGUACACAAUCUGCUGAAUACACACACACAGACAGACUGCUGAGUGUACACACACACAGACAGACAGACUGCUGAGUGUACACACACACAGACAGACUGCUGAGUGUACACACACACA
This is a non-coding RNA of Pelobates cultripes (western spadefoot toad), 230 nucleotides long. NCBI's taxonomy places the organism in Eukaryota, Metazoa, Chordata, Amphibia, Anura, Pelobatidae. The record is from the annotation of a GenBank genome assembly.